UCAUUUUGUACCUGUUUCCUCCAGCAUCUUCACAAGGUCCUUUGCUGUUCUGGGAUUGAUUUGCACUUUUCGAAACCAAAGUGAACGUGGUACCUUCAGGCAUUUGGAAAUUGCUCCCAAGGAUGAACCAGACUUGUGGAGGUCUACAAUUUAUUUUCUGAGGUAUUGGCUGAUUUUCUUUGGAUUUUCCCAUGAUGUCAAGCAAAGAGGCACUGAGUUUGAAGGUAGGCCUUGCAAUACAUCUACAGGUAUACCUCCAAUUGACUCAAAUUAGACUCACAUCAAAAGACUCACAUCAUUUUCUGGAAUUUUCCAAGCUGUUUGAAGGCACAGUCAACUUAGU
This is a long non-coding RNA of Oncorhynchus tshawytscha (Chinook salmon), 343 nucleotides long. The record is from Ensembl. Lineage: Eukaryota; Metazoa; Chordata; Actinopteri; Salmoniformes; Salmonidae.